This 73-nucleotide transfer RNA is filed under the name Gefionella okellyi. RNAcentral describes it as "tRNA-Cys". It matches the Rfam family "tRNA". Rfam says of the family: Transfer RNA (tRNA) molecules are approximately 80 nucleotides in length. Lineage: Eukaryota; Malawimonada; Malawimonadea; Malawimonadida; Malawimonadidae. The record is from RNAcentral.
AGGUAUAUAACAUAAUAGGUAAUGUAAUGAAUUGCAAAUUCAUCAAAUGCGAGUUCAAUUCUCGCUAUAACCU